GACGAACGCUGGCGGCGUGCUUAACACAUGCAAGUCGAGCGGUAAGGCCCUUUCGGAGGUACACGAGCGGCGAACGGGUGAGUAACACGUGGGUGACCUGCCUUUAGCUCUGGGAUAAGCCUGGGAAACCGGGUCUAAUACCGGAUAUGACUCCGCGGCGCAUGUUGUGGGUGGAAAGCCUUGUGCGGCUGGAGAUGGGCCCGCGGCCUAUCAGCUUGUUGGUGGGGUGAUGGCCACCAAGGCGACGACGGGUAGCCGGCCUGAGAGGGCGACCGGCCACACUGGGACUGAGACACGGCCCAGACUCCUACGGGAGGCAGCAGUGGGGAAUCUUGCGCAAUGGGCGAAAGCCUGACGCAGCGACGCCGCGUGAGGGAUGACGGCCUCGGUGUAA
Molecule: ribosomal RNA, 394 nt
Filed under: uncultured bacterium
Lineage: Bacteria
Description: bacterial SSU rRNA
Rfam family: Bacterial small subunit ribosomal RNA
Source: RNAcentral